RNAcentral lists this transfer RNA (72 nucleotides) under Nemalion vermiculare. Its description in RNAcentral is "tRNA-Thr". It matches the Rfam family "tRNA". Rfam says of the family: Transfer RNA (tRNA) molecules are approximately 80 nucleotides in length. Their secondary structure includes four short double-helical elements and three loops (D, anti-codon, and T loops). Further hydrogen bonds mediate the characteristic L-shaped molecular structure. tRNAs have two regions of fundamental functional importance: the anti-codon, which is responsible for specific mRNA codon recognition, and the 3' end, to which the tRNAs corresponding amino acid is attached (by aminoacyl-tRNA synthetases). tRNAs cope with the degeneracy of the genetic code in two manners: having more than one tRNA (with a specific anti-codon) for a particular amino acid; and 'wobble' base-pairing, i.e. permitting non-standard base-pairing at the 3rd anti-codon position. The record is from RNAcentral. Lineage: Eukaryota; Rhodophyta; Florideophyceae; Nemaliales; Nemaliaceae.
GCCUUUGUAGCUCAGUGGUAGAGCAUCUCCUUGGUAAGGCGAAGGUAGUGGGUUCGAAUCCCGCCAAAGGCU